AGAACGAACGCUGGCGGCAGGCUUAACACAUGCAAGUCGAGCGCUGUAGCAAUACAGAGCGGCGCACGGGUGAGUAACACGUGGGAACAUGCCUUUCGGUUCGGAAUAACUCAGGGAAACUUGUGCUAAUACCGGAUACGCCCUUACGGGGAAAGAUUUAUUGCCGAAAGAGUGGCCCGCGUUGGAUUAGCUAGUUGGCGGGGUAAAAGCCCACCAAGGCGACGAUCCAUAGCUGGUCUGAGAGGACGACCAGCCACACUGGGACUGAGACACGGCCCAGACUCCUACGGGAGGCAGCAGUGGGGAAUCUUGGACAAUGGGGGAAACCCUGAUCCAGCCAUGCCGCGUGAGUGAUGAAGGCCCUAGGGUUGUAAAACUCUUUCGGCGGGGACGAUAAUGACGGUACCCGCAGAAGAGCUCCGGCUAACUUCGCGCCAGCAGCCGC
Molecule: ribosomal RNA, 445 nt
Filed under: uncultured bacterium
Lineage: Bacteria
Description: SSU rRNA
Rfam family: Bacterial small subunit ribosomal RNA
Source: RNAcentral